This 508-nucleotide ribosomal RNA is filed under the name uncultured bacterium. Its description in RNAcentral is "partial 16S ribosomal RNA". It matches the Rfam family "Bacterial small subunit ribosomal RNA", at positions 28 to 507 of the family's 1533-position model. The record is from RNAcentral.
GACGAACGCUGGCGGCGUGCCUAAUACAUGCAAGUCGAACGCUUCUUUCCUCCCGAGUGCUUGCACUCAAUUGGAAAGAGGAGGGGCGGACGGGUGAGUAACACGUGGGUAACCUACCCAUCAGAGGGGGAUAACACUUGGAAACAGGUGCUAAUACCGCAUAACAGUUUAUGCCGCAUGGCAUAAGAGUGAAAGGCGCUUUCGGGGGUCGCUGAUGGAUGGACCCGCGGUGCAUUGGCUAGUUGGUGAGGUAACGGCUCACCAAGGCCGCGAUGCAUAGCCGACCGCAUUGAGUGGUAGCCCACAUGGGGAGUGAGACGCGCCCCAGGCGCCUGCGGGAGGCCCCAGUAUGCUAUCGUCGGCAAUGGACGAAAGUCUGACCGAGCAGCGCCACGUCAGUGAAGAAGGUUCUCGGAGCGUAAAGCUCUGUUGUUAGUGGAGAACAGCUUCGGUAGUAACUGAACGGCCACUGACGGUAACUAACCAGAAAGCCACGGCUAACUACGUG